UACGUAGGGAGCGAGCGUUGUCCGAAUUUACUGGGCGUAAAGCGCGCGUAGGCGGUCCAUUAAGUGAGAGGUGAAAUUCCAGGGCUCAACCCCGGAACUGCCUCUCAUACUGUUGGUCUUGAGUGAGGUAGAGAGAAGUGGAAUGGCUGGUGUAGCGGUGAAAUGCGUAGAUAUCAGUCGGAACACCGGUGGCGAAGGCGGCUGCUUGGGCCUUUACUGACGCUGAGGCGCGAAAGCCAGGGGAGCGAACGGG
RNAcentral lists this ribosomal RNA (253 nucleotides) under uncultured bacterium. RNAcentral describes it as "partial 16S ribosomal RNA". It matches the Rfam family "Bacterial small subunit ribosomal RNA", at positions 524 to 776 of the family's 1533-position model. The record is from RNAcentral.